This 791-nucleotide ribosomal RNA is filed under the name uncultured Pelagibacteraceae bacterium. RNAcentral describes it as "bacterial SSU rRNA". It matches the Rfam family "Bacterial small subunit ribosomal RNA", at positions 44 to 883 of the family's 1533-position model. Lineage: Bacteria; Pseudomonadati; Pseudomonadota; Alphaproteobacteria; Candidatus Pelagibacterales; Candidatus Pelagibacteraceae. The record is from RNAcentral.
ACGCCUUAUACAUGCAAGUCGAACGAAGUAGCAAUACUUAGUGGCAGACGGGUGAGUAACAUGUAGGUAUCUUCCCUUUGGUGAGGAAUAACACGAGGAAACUUGUGCUAAUACCUCAUAAGUCUUUACGGAGAAAGCUUUAUGCGCCAAAGGAUGGGCCUGCAUUUGAUUAGUUUGUUGGUGGGGUAAUGGCCUACCAAGACUUUGAUCAAUAGCUGAUCUGAGAGGAUGAUCAGCCACAUUGGGACUGAGACACGGCCCAAACUCCUACGGGAGGCAGCAGUAGGGAAUAUUGCACAAUGGAGGAAACUCUGAUGCAGCGAUGCCGCGUGAGUGAAGAAGGCCUUUGGGUUGUAAAGCUCUUUCGUCGGGGAAGAAAAUGACUGUACCCGAAUAAGAAGGUCCGGCUAACUUCGUGCCAGCAGCCGCGGUAAUACGAAGGGACCUAGCGUAGUUCGGAAUUACUGGGCUUAAAGAGUUCGUAGGUGGUUAAAAAAGUUGGUGGUGAAAUCCCAGAGCUUAACUCUGGAACUGCCAUCAAAACUUUUUAGCUAGAGUAUGAUAGAGGAAAGCAGAAUUUCUAGUGUAGAGGUGAAAUUCGUAGAUAUUAGAAAGAAUACCAAUUGCGAAGGCAGCUUUCUGGAUCAUUACUGACACUGAGGAACGAAAGCAUGGGUAGCGAAGAGGAUUAGAUACCCUCGUAGUCCAUGCCGUAAACGAUGUGUGUUAGACGUUGGAAAUUUAUUUUCAGUGUCGCAGCGAAAGCAUUAAACACACCGCCUGGGGAGUAC